RNAcentral lists this ribosomal RNA (970 nucleotides) under uncultured marine bacterium. RNAcentral's name for it is "bacterial SSU rRNA". It matches the Rfam family "Bacterial small subunit ribosomal RNA", at positions 54 to 1021 of the family's 1533-position model. The record is from RNAcentral.
CAUGCAAGUCGAGGGGUAACAGGGGAGAGCUUGCUUUCCCGCUGACGACCGGCGAACGGGUGCGUAACACGUAUGCAACCUACCCUUCACAGGAGGACAGCCCCGAGAAAUCGGGAUUAAUACUCCAUAACAUCACGGAUUCGCAUGUUUCUGUGAUCAAAGUUCCGGCGGUGAAGGAUGGGCAUGCGGCCUAUUAGUUUGUUGGUGAGGUAACGGCUCACCAAGACUACGACAGGUAGGGGGUCUGAGAGGAUGAUCCCCCACACUGGUACUGAGACACGGACCAGACUCCUACGGGAGGCAGCAGUGAGGAAUAUUGGUCAAUGGACGAAAGUCUGAACCAGCCAUGCCGCGUGCAGGAAGACUGCCCUACGGGUUGUAAACUGCUUUUAUGUGGGAAUAAACCCCUGGAUUCUUCCGGGGCUGAAGGUACCACACGAAUAAGGAUCGGCUAACUCCGUGCCAGCAGCCGCGGUAAUACGGAGGAUCCAAGCGUUAUCCGGAUUUAUUGGGUUUAAAGGGUCCGUAGGCGGGACAUUAAGUCAGUGGUGAAAGCCUUCAGCUUAACUGGAGAAUUGCCAUUGAUACUGAUGUUCUUGAGUACACCUGAAGUGGGCGGAAUGUGUCAUGUAGCGGUGAAAUGCAUAGAUAUGACACAGAACACCGAUUGCGAAGGCAGCUCACUAAAGUGUAACUGACGCUGAGGGACGAAAGCGUGGGGAGCGAACAGGAUUAGAUACCCUGGUAGUCCACGCCGUAAACGAUGAUCACUCGAUAUUGGCUUCGGUCAGUGUCCAAGCGAAAGUGAUAAGUGAUCCACCUGGGGAGUACGCCGGCAACGGUGAAACUCAAAGGAAUUGACGGGGGCCCGCACAAGCGGUGGAGCAUGUGGUUUAAUUCGAUGAUACGCGAGGAACCUUACCAGGGCUUAAAUGCAGAACGACCGGCGUGGAAACACGCCUUUCUUCGG